UCAAAUUUUUGGGGGAAAGGACUGUUGGCAUAGUGGCCAGUAAUUGGAUUAUAAAAGAGGGAGAUGUAAGUACAUGCGAAAAACCUUUAUGUCAAUCAUUUCAAAAAUUCUAUGCAAGUUCUGCAAAACUAUUUUGUUUUCCAUUUCAGAAGACAUGCAGCUACUGGCCACUCCACAAGCCCACACAGAGGGCAAAGGACAAAGAUUUGCCCGAUCCUAAAACCUGGCUAAAAAGGCCAAUAAAAAUAUUUGUGUGUUAAUGUGUGUUAAUGGGCGACAAAUAAAUAAGUGGUGACAUGCAACACAUUUAAAAGAGUGUAAUUUCUAAUUGUUUUGGCCCACCUGACUGUUUAGAUGAUUGGGAUCAGGCCGUCAGGAGGAACAAGAGGGCGGAGACAAAGUCCUGUGUGGAGACAGGAAAUGAGGACAUAGGGAGGCGCAUCAUAGUCAAACCCCAAAAAUGUGAAAAGAGAACAAAGAAACGAAAUGGGAAAAAGGCAGGACAAGGUCCACAUUUCAGGACUUCCCUUCCUCCUCCACCCCAGAUAGAAUCCCCCAUUCCACGGCGUAGCGCACUACAAAUAUCUUCACCCCCUGUGACUGAUGACGGUAGAGUUUUGCAAGGGAAUGAUGGUUAAAAACAAAUACAAAUAAUUGCAUAGAAGUCAAGAAGACACUAUGUUUCGAAACAAAAACACAUAACCUAAAUUCUUAUCUUGUUCUUUCUGUAGAUUACUCCCCUCCUUCACCGGCAAGAGACGUUUUUACAGAAAAUGAUGGUAAAGUUAUGCAUGGUAAUGAUGACGAAUGAUGAUGACAUAACAGUAAUUCUAUGAGCCAAGACAACAAAGAGUUUGAAACCAAAAAAAAACAUUGAAUUAUUAUUUUGUACUUCCUGCAGAUGAUUCGAUUGCGUCUUCAUUUGAAACGCCAUUGCCUAUCUCUACUGGGGACGGUAAAGUGGCGGGUGGAGAGGGUGGUUAAAACCAAACUAGUAACUCUUAUCAACAGGUUAUGACAGUCAUCUGUCUAUACUAACCCUACACAUUAUGCUUUAUACACAUUACUUAGGUGACCGAAGAGAGAGAGAAACCAUACCAAUCUGGGCAAAGAAUAUCAACGGUAAUACAUGUAUUGAACUGUAUUGCACUGUAUGCAAAUGACACCAAAUACUACUAAAUACACUCCUCUCAUCUCAACAUAAUUUUUUUUACAGCCACAUUGGAGGUUCUGCUCCGAAGGCUUGAGACUGUUGAGCAGAAUCAGAGAGAGGCUCUAUUAUUGCUACGGGCAAAUCGACAUGGGGACCCUGGGGAAGCUAGUGUCGAGUUACUGCAGGCGCAAACUCAGGCCGAACUACAGGAACUCGAGGAGCACCUUAAAAAUAGAGAUUUCACAAAAAAAAUGGUAAAUGUACGAAUAAUGGUGAAGUGACUUUAGGCUAUAUUGUACACAUGCCACCAAGUGUGCCACAUGGCCCUGCCAUUGAGCUUUUUUCAUCUUUAGUUCCCUGUUGUUAGCUAAGUAGUUAGAGAUGAGCAGUCCAUCUUCAAAUACCUUAAUUUGGUUCACCCCCCUCAAAAGAAAACACCACCAACACCACAUGAAAAAUACAAUGCAAAUACUUGCCUUAACCAUGGUUGUUUGAUUUCCUUAGAUUUCCCAUCUGAGCCUAGUUGGGGGGUCCAAUCCUGGGGAGUGUGUGAGGAGGGUGCUGCGCUCUGUGGCCUCAAACUUUGUUUGGAGCAGCUACAGCCUUAGGGGAAAGAAGGGGAAGAUGCCA
This 1783-nucleotide long non-coding RNA is filed under the name Gadus morhua (Atlantic cod). Its description in RNAcentral is "lncRNA (ENSGMOG00000027350.1)". The record is from RNAcentral. Lineage: Eukaryota; Metazoa; Chordata; Actinopteri; Gadiformes; Gadidae.